RNAcentral lists this non-coding RNA (23 nucleotides) under Cricetulus griseus (Chinese hamster). The record is from RNAcentral. Lineage: Eukaryota; Metazoa; Chordata; Mammalia; Rodentia; Cricetidae.
CGUGGAGAGGAACAAAUCUGAGU